GUGGCUCAGAGGUUAAAGCGUCUGCCUCCAACGCGGGAAACCCGGGUUCAAAACCCGGC
RNAcentral lists this transfer RNA (59 nucleotides) under Ovis aries (sheep). It matches the Rfam family "tRNA", at positions 7 to 64 of the family's 71-position model. From Rfam's summary of the family: Transfer RNA (tRNA) molecules are approximately 80 nucleotides in length. Their secondary structure includes four short double-helical elements and three loops (D, anti-codon, and T loops). Lineage: Eukaryota; Metazoa; Chordata; Mammalia; Artiodactyla; Bovidae. The record is from Rfam by way of RNAcentral.